This 143-nucleotide unclassified non-coding RNA is filed under the name uncultured Cryptosporiopsis. RNAcentral's name for it is "sequence contains ITS2". Lineage: Eukaryota; Fungi; Ascomycota; Leotiomycetes; Helotiales; Dermateaceae. The record is from RNAcentral.
UAACCAUCAAGCUAUGCUUAGUAUUAGUCCUCAUCGGGAACAAUGUGCCUUAUAGAGAGUGGCGGCACUGCUUAGCUCUAAGCGUAGUGAACUUCUCGCUAUAGAUACUUGGGAGCUGCCUGCUAUAAACCCAAAAUUUCUUA